Molecule: ribosomal RNA, 254 nt
Filed under: uncultured bacterium
Lineage: Bacteria
Description: partial 16S ribosomal RNA
Rfam family: Bacterial small subunit ribosomal RNA
Source: RNAcentral
UACGAGGGGUGCAAGCGUUGCUCGGAAUUAUUGGGCGUAAAGGGUAGGUAGGUGGUCUCAUUUGUCAGGGGUGAAAGCCUUGGGCUUAACCCAAGAAGUGCCCCUGAAACGGUGAGACUAGAGUGCUGGAGAGGGUCGUGGAAUUCCCGGUGUAGCGGUGAAAUGCGUAGAGAUCGGGAGGAACACCAGAGGCGAAGGCGGCGACCGUGGACAGCUACUGACGCUGAGGCGCGAAAGCUAGGGGAGCAAACAGG